This 371-nucleotide long non-coding RNA is filed under the name Homo sapiens (human). Its description in RNAcentral is "HSALNT0275315". The record is from RNAcentral. Lineage: Eukaryota; Metazoa; Chordata; Mammalia; Primates; Hominidae.
CCGGCUCUGAGUCUCAGCCCACAGACACUCGGACACUCGUCGGCCCGCCCUGCAUAGAUACAGGCAUCGUCACCAGCCACGGCAAUGGAUCCCGUCCACCUCCCACCCGGCCACUCCAGACCCAAAUUCAGCACUGGCUUCAGCCUCCUGCCAUUCUUGCUGGGUCUCAGGAGGGAACCGGGCCAGCCAGGUGCUGUCUGGGACUGUAGGCUCUGAGCCUGGUCCCUGCUCAGUUCCAGCAGCCAGUGGGCCAGGGGUGCUCAGCUGAGGACCCCCACUCCAUCCAGCCUGCCGUGGGGCAGCCGGCCUGGCCUGAUGCUGGCUCAGACAGACUCAUGAGGAAUCUGAGCUCUGAAAACCGCAGCUCCGAG